RNAcentral lists this ribosomal RNA (484 nucleotides) under uncultured bacterium. RNAcentral's name for it is "partial 16S ribosomal RNA". It matches the Rfam family "Bacterial small subunit ribosomal RNA", at positions 29 to 507 of the family's 1533-position model. The record is from RNAcentral.
AUUGAACGCUGGCGGCAUGCUUUACACAUGCAAGUCGAACGGCAGCGCGGGCUUCGGCCUGGCGGCGAGUGGCGAACGGGUGAGUAAUACAUCGGAACGUGCCCAGUAGUGGGGGAUAGCUCGGCGAAAGCCGGAUUAAUACCGCAUACGACCUGAGGGUGAAAGCGGGGGAUCUUCGGACCUCGCGCUAUUGGAGCGGCCGAUGGCAGAUUAGCUAGUUGGUGGGGUAAAGGCCUACCAAGGCGACGAUCUGUAGCUGGUCUGAGAGGACGACCAGCCACACUGGGACUGAGACACGGCCCAGACUCCUACGGGAGGCAGCAGUGGGGAAUUUUGGACAAUGGGCGAAAGCCUGAUCCAGCAAUGCCGCGUGUGUGAUGAAGGCCUUCGGGUUGUAAAGAACUUUUGGCGGGAACGAAAAGGACUGGGCCAAUACCACGGUUCGAUGACGGUACCCGCAGAAUAAGCACCGGCUAACUACGUG